This 166-nucleotide ribosomal RNA is filed under the name Croton eremophilus. RNAcentral describes it as "5.8S ribosomal RNA". It matches the Rfam family "5.8S ribosomal RNA". From Rfam's summary of the family: 5.8S ribosomal RNA (5.8S rRNA) is a component of the large subunit of the eukaryotic ribosome. It is transcribed by RNA polymerase I as part of the 45S precursor that also contains 18S and 28S rRNA. Lineage: Eukaryota; Viridiplantae; Streptophyta; Magnoliopsida; Malpighiales; Euphorbiaceae. The record is from RNAcentral.
ACGACUCUCGGCAACGGAUAUCUCGGCUCUCGCAUCGAUGAAGAACGCAGCGAAAUGCGAUACUUGGUGUGAAUUGCAGAAUCCCGUGAACCAUCGAGUUUUUGAACGCAAGUUGCGCCCAAAGCCUUUCGGCUGAGGGCACGUCUGCCUGGGUGUCACGUAACAU